RNAcentral lists this long non-coding RNA (288 nucleotides) under Olea europaea (common olive). Its description in RNAcentral is "long non-coding RNA (OEUR_LNC015536)". Lineage: Eukaryota; Viridiplantae; Streptophyta; Magnoliopsida; Lamiales; Oleaceae. The record is from RNAcentral.
CUGAGGCUACAAGGACAACAAAAUGCUCGACCAUUUCUAAAUCUAACAUUCUACAAAUCGAGUGCUUUUACUGGAUGAAAGUAACACUUGAAUACAAGUAACUUACAUUGAAAUGAAUUAUACUGCAAAGCAGCAUUCACUUCACAGAACAUCAAGUGCUGCUCAAACUGUAAAUAUCUGCCUCACCAUCUAGAAGUGUCUACGACAUAUAGGGCGAGUACGAACACUCUCUGCUAUCUUGCAAAUUUCGAAUCAAAUUACAUAAGUUAUCUUUAAUUAGCAUUAGCU